This 1793-nucleotide ribosomal RNA is filed under the name Salmonella enterica subsp. enterica serovar Ajiobo. RNAcentral's name for it is "partial 23S ribosomal RNA". It matches the Rfam family "Bacterial large subunit ribosomal RNA", at positions 1191 to 2925 of the family's 2925-position model. Lineage: Bacteria; Pseudomonadati; Pseudomonadota; Gammaproteobacteria; Enterobacterales; Enterobacteriaceae. The record is from RNAcentral.
GGAGCGAAGCGACGUCAAAGCGUUCAUUAAAGUCGAGUUGGCUUAGGGAUACGUUCGUUGGGUAGGGGAGCGUUCUGUAAGCCUGUGAAGGUGGCCUGUGAGGGUUGCUGGAGGUAUCAGAAGUGCGAAUGCUGACAUAAGUAACGAUAAAGCGGGUGAAAAGCCCGCUCGCCGGAAGACCAAGGGUUCCUGUCCAACGUUAAUCGGGGCAGGGUGAGUCGACCCCUAAGGCGAGGCCGAAAGGCGUAGUCGAUGGGAAACGGGUUAAUAUUCCCGUACUUGGUGUUACUGCGAAGGGGGGACGGAGAAGGCUAUGUUGGCCGGGCGACGGUUGUCCCGGUUUAAGCGUGUAGGUGUGUGUUCCAGGUAAAUCCGGUUCACUUUAACACUGAGGCGUGACGACGAGGCACUACGGUGCUGAAGCAACAAAUGCCCUGCUUCCAGGAAAAGCCUCUAAGCAUCAGGUAACAUCAAAUCGUACCCCAAACCGACACAGGUGGUCAGGUAGAGAAUACCAAGGCGCUUGAGAGAACUCGGGUGAAGGAACUAGGCAAAAUGGUGCCGUAACUUCGGGAGAAGGCACGCUGACACGUAGGUGAAGUGAUUUACUCAUGGAGCUGAAGUCAGUCGAAGAUACCAGCUGGCUGCAACUGUUUAUUAAAAACACAGCACUGUGCAAACACGAAAGUGGACGUAUACGGUGUGACGCCUGCCCGGUGCCGGAAGGUUAAUUGAUGGGGUCAGCGCAAGCGAAGCUCCUGAUCGAAGCCCCGGUAAACGGCGGCCGUAACUAUAACGGUCCUAAGGUAGCGAAAUUCCUUGUCGGGUAAGUUCCGACCUGCACGAAUGGCGUAAUGAUGGCCAGGCUGUCUCCACCCGAGACUCAGUGAAAUUGAACUCGCUGUGAAGAUGCAGUGUACCCGCGGCAAGACGGAAAGACCCCGUGAACCUUUACUAUAGCUUGACACUGAACAUUGAGCCUUGAUGUGUAGGAUAGGUGGGAGGCUUUGAAGUGUGGACGCCAGUCUGCAUGGAGCCGACCUUGAAAUACCACCCUUUAAUGUUUGAUGUUCUAACGUGGACCCGUUACCCGGGUUGCGGACAGUGUCUGGUGGGUAGUUUGACUGGGGCGGUCUCCUCCUAAAGAGUAACGGAGGAGCACGAAGGUUGGCUAAUCCUGGUCGGACAUCAGGAGGUUAGUGCAAUGGCAUAAGCCAGCUUGACUGCGAGCGUGACGGCGCGAGCAGGUGCGAAAGCAGGUCAUAGUGAUCCGGUGGUUCUGAAUGGAAGGGCCAUCGCUCAACGGAUAAAAGGUACUCCGGGGAUAACAGGCUGAUACCGCCCAAGAGUUCAUAUCGACGGCGGUGUUUGGCACCUCGAUGUCGGCUCAUCACAUCCUGGGGCUGAAGUAGGUCCCAAGGGUAUGGCUGUUCGCCAUUUAAAGUGGUACGCGAGCUGGGUUUAGAACGUCGUGAGACAGUUCGGUCCCUAUCUGCCGUGGGCGCUGGAGAACUGAGGGGGGCUGCUCCUAGUACGAGAGGACCGGAGUGGACGCAUCACUGGUGUUCGGGUUGUCAUGCCAAUGGCACUGCCCGGUAGCUAAAUGCGGAAGAGAUAAGUGCUGAAAGCAUCUAAGCACGAAACUUGCCCCGAGAUGAGUUCUCCCUGAGACUUUAGGUCUCCUGAAGGAACGUUGAAGACGACGACGUUGAUAGGCCGGGUGUGUAAGCGCAGCGAUGCGUUGAGCUAACCGGUACUAAUGAACCGUGAGGCUUAACCUUACAACGCCGAAG